UACGGAGGGUGCAAGCGUUAUCCGGAUUCACUGGGUUUAAAGGGUGCGUAGGUGGGUUGAUAAGUCAGUGGUGAAAUCCCCGAGCUUAACUUGGGAACUGCCAUUGAUACUAUUGAUCUUGAAUACCGUGGAGGUCAGCGGAAUAUGUCAUGUAGCGGUGAAAUGCUUAGAUAUCAAGUGGAACACCAGUGGCGAAGGCGAGUCUCUGGACAUUUCCUGACGCUGAGGCACGAAAGCCAGGGGAGCAAACGGG
This 253-nucleotide ribosomal RNA is filed under the name uncultured prokaryote. RNAcentral's name for it is "partial 16S ribosomal RNA". It matches the Rfam family "Bacterial small subunit ribosomal RNA", at positions 524 to 776 of the family's 1533-position model. The record is from RNAcentral.